GACGAACGCUGGCGGCGUGCUUAACACAUGCAAGUCGAGCGGUAAGGCCCUUCCGGGGGUACGACGAGCGGCGAACGGGUGAGUAACACGUGGGUGACCUGCCCUCAGCUCUGGGAUAAGCCUGGGAAACCGGGUCUAAUACUGGAUAUGACUCCAUGACGCAUGUUGUGGGGUGGAAAGCCUUGUGCGGCUGAGGAUGGGUCCGCGGCCUAUCAGCUUGUUGGUGGGGUGAGGCCUACCAAGGCGACGACGGGUAGCCGGCCUGAGAGGGCGACCGGCCACACUGGGACUGAGACACGGCCCAGACUCCUACGGGAGGCAGCAGUGGGGAAUCUUGCGCAAUGGGCGAAAGCCUGACGCAGCGACGCCGCGUGAGGGAUGACGGCCUGG
This 390-nucleotide ribosomal RNA is filed under the name uncultured bacterium. RNAcentral's name for it is "bacterial SSU rRNA". It matches the Rfam family "Bacterial small subunit ribosomal RNA", at positions 28 to 419 of the family's 1533-position model. The record is from RNAcentral.